AGAGUUUGAUCCUGGCUCAGAACGUACGCUGGCGGCCGCCUAUACAUGCAAGUCGAACGAAGUAGCAAUACUUAGUGGCAGACGGGUGAGUAACAUGUGGGUAUCUUCCCUUUGGUGAGGAAUAACACGAGGAAACUUGUGCUAAUACCUCAUAAGUCUUUACGGAGAAAGCUUUAUGCGCCAUUGGAUGAGCCUGCACUUGAUUAGUUUGUUGGUGGGGUAAUGGCCUACCAAGACAAUGAUCAAUAGCUGAUUUGAGAGGAUGAUCAGCCACAUUGGGACUGAGACACGGCCCAAACUCCUACGGGAGGCAGCAGUAGGGAAUCUUGCACAAUGGAGGAAACUCUGAUGCAGCGAUGCCGCGUGAGUGAAGAAGGCCUUUGGGUUGUAAAGCUCUUUCGUCGGGGAAGAAAAUGACUGUCCCGAAUAAGAAGGUCCGGCUAACUUCGUGCCAGCAGCCGCGGUAAUACGAAGGAGCCUAGCGUAGUUCGGAAUUACUGGGCUUAUAGAGUUCGUAGGUGGUUAAAAAAGUUGAUGGUGAAAUCCCAGAGCUUAACUCUGGAACUGCCAUCAAAACUUUUUAGCUAGAGUAUGAUAGAGGAAAGCAGAAUUUCUAGUGUAGAGGUGAAAUUCGUAGAUAUUAGAAAGAAUACCAACUGCGAAGGCAGCUUUCUGGAUCAUUACUGACGCUGAGGAACGAAAGCAUGGGUAGCGAAGAGGAUUAGAUACCCUCGUAGUCCAUGCCGUAAACGAUGUGUGUUAGACGUGGAAAUUUAUUUUCAGUGUCGCAGUAAAACAAUAACACACCGCC
This 811-nucleotide ribosomal RNA is filed under the name uncultured Pseudomonadota bacterium. RNAcentral's name for it is "bacterial SSU rRNA". It matches the Rfam family "Bacterial small subunit ribosomal RNA", at positions 9 to 873 of the family's 1533-position model. The record is from RNAcentral. Lineage: Bacteria; Pseudomonadati; Pseudomonadota.